Molecule: long non-coding RNA, 2729 nt
Filed under: Homo sapiens (human)
Lineage: Eukaryota; Metazoa; Chordata; Mammalia; Primates; Hominidae
Description: HSALNT0193944
Source: RNAcentral
UUUAUCAUUUUUUAUUGCGUCUAUUUGAUUCUUCUCUCUUUUUUUCUUUAUUAGUCUUGCUAGCGGUCUAUCAAUUUUGUUGAUCCUUUCAAAAAACCAACUCCUGGAUUCAUGAAUUUUUUGAAGGGUUUUUUGUGUCUCUAUUUCCUUCAGUUCUGCUCUGAUUUUAGUUAUUUCUUGCCUUCUAGCUUUUGAAUGUGUUUGCUCUUGCUUUUCUAGUUCUUUUAAUUGUGAUGUUAGGGUGUCAAUUUUGGAUCUUUCCUGCUUUCUCUUGUGGGCAUUUAGUGCUAUAAAUUUCCCUCUACACACUGCUUUGAAUGCAUCCCAGAGAUUCUGGUAUGUUGUGUCUUUGUUCUCGUUGGUUUCAAAGAACAUCUUUAUUUCUGCCUUCGUUAUGUACCCAGUAGUCAUUCAGGAGCAGGUUGUUCAGUUUCCAUGUAGUUGAGCAGUUUUGAGUGAGUUUCUUAAUCCUGAGUUCUAAUUUGAUUGCACUGUGGUCUGAGAGAUAGUUUGUUAUAAUUUGUGUUCUUUUACAUUUGCUGAGGAGAGCUUUACUUCCAACUGUGUGGUCAAUUUUGGAAUAGGUGUGGUGUGGUGCUGAAAAAAAUGAAUAUUCUGUUGAUUUGGGGUGGAGAGUUCUGUAGAUGUCUAUUAGGUCCGCUUGGUGCAGAGCUGAAUUCAAUUCCUGGGUAUGCUUGUUGACUUUCUGUCUCGUUGAUCUGUCUAAUGUUGACAGUGGGGUGUUAAAGUCUCCCAUUAUUAAUGUGUGGGAGUCUAAGUCUCUUUGUAGGUCACUCAGGACUUGCUUUAUGAAUCUGGGUGCUCCUGUAUUGGGUGCAUGUAUAUUUAGGAUAGUUAGCUCUUCUUGUUGAAUUGAUCCCUUUACCAUUAUGUAAUGGCCUUCUUUGUCUUUUUUGAUUUAAAGUCUGUUUAAUCAGAGACUAGGAUUGCAACCCCUGCCUUUUUUUGUUUUCCAUUUGCUUAGUAGAUCUUCCUCCAUCCUUUUAUUUUGAGCCUAUGUGUGUCUCUGCAUGUGAGGUGGGUUUCCUGAAUACAACACACUGAUGGGUCUUGACUCUUUAUCCAAUUUGCCUUCAAAGUAAAGUUUCAAAGAAACCACCUGUUUUCUUUGUACUAAUAACUUUGUAUUAAUGUGGUUUUGGCCGAACGUUAGAAAAUGUUAUCAGGAAAUAUAUUAUGUACAGAAAGUAAUGUAAUGAAGCAUUAUGAACUUGGAAAUCUGGCACCAAAUGUAAGACACUGAACAGUUUGAGGACAGUUUAAGUCCCCCAACCCCACCAUGUUCUUCUCCCUUGAUCCUAUUCCUUCUCAGAAGUACCUUCUAUCCUGAAAACUUUGAAAUCGUUAAUUUUUUUCUACAGAUUUAUAUAUGUACACAAAAUUUUAUUACAGUGGUAUUCAACUCUAAUUUUUCUUUUCCCCCCACUCAACAUUGUUUCUAGAAUAUCAUCUAUAUUUAUAUAUAUAUAUAUAAUUAGCUGAUUUCCGCUACUUUAUUUCAGUAUAUGAAUAAACCAUUUUAUUUAUUCUCUUGUGGAAGGACAUUUGGAUUGCUUCUAGUUCUUGACUUUUAGUAAUGGUUCAAGAACAUUCUUCAGAUCCAUGGUUCAUGGUUUCUCUAGGAGUGGAAUUUGGGAUCAGGGAGUAUACCUGUCUUCAGGUUUACAAGAUAAUGUCAAACUGCUUUCCAAAGUGGUUUAUAAGAUUUCCUAUGGCUCCACCAUGCUUGCCAGCACUUGGUAUUGUCAGCUUUAUCAAUCUGAUGAUUUCAAAAUGGAAUCUAAUUCUGGUGAUAACUGGCAUUUUCCUAAUUACUAAUGAGGCUAAAUACAGGAGUGACUCAAACAAUUUAACAACUAGACAUAGCUAGUACAGUAGGACUCCGACUAAUCCAGGUAUUCUUUAACUUCUGGUGUGAGAAGGUAUGUAAUCUAAGAACCUCAUGUAGCCAGGGUGGCACUUGGGGGUCUCAAUGUAAUGACUUACCAAGCAGUGCAUAAUACUUAAAAAAAAAAAGUUAUAGCCAUAUCAGCUAACAAUGUUUAAGGACCAUUUACGUUUCUCCUUUUGUGCAAUGCUCAUUUCUCUCUUUUGCCACUUUUUCCACUAGAUUAUCUGUGUUGAUUCAUCAGUAUUCAUUAUAUGUCCUGGUACUACUAAUUGUUUAACAGUAUGUGUUGUAUGCCAUGUCCCAGUUUGUGUUUUUUCCUAAGCAGAAGUUCUUAAUGAAGUAGGAUUUAUUACACGUUCUCUCUAUAGAUAGUUUUUGUGUCUUACUUUUGAUAUCCAAUAGGGCAAGCCCCUCAUCCUGUUCUACUUUUGUGAGAGUGUCAUGGUUAUUCUUGGCUUAAUAUCAUCUUCCAUAUACAUUUUAGAAUUAGCUUGUUGGGUUAACGUGAAGAACUCUUGGGAUUUUGCUCAGAUACACAUUUAACCAAAGGAUCAACUUGGGAAAAAGAAGUAGCGUUUUAUGAUCCUGAAUCUUCCUAGCCAAGAACAUGGUUAUAGUUCCGUUUGUGCAGAUCUUUCUUACUGCCUUUUCCUAAAAUUUUAGCAAGUACUAUAGAGCAGUAUUUGCAAAUCUUUUGUUUGAUUAAUUGCUAACUUCUACAUUUUUUCUUGCUAUUUAAAAAUGUAUCCUUUUAUUUACAAAUUAUAUUUUAAACUCUGACUAGUGUCACAUGCUUUUUAAACAGUGAAGACCCAGC